ACGAUCUGAUAAACAGUUUGCAACUAUAAAACACAAGAUCUCAAGCUACAUGAGGUAUAAAUUAUCCACUUGAACUUUGAAUAAAAAAAAAAUGAAGACAACUCUCAUUCUCUUCGGUAUCAUUGUGGCGGCAACCCUUGUGUCAGCUGCACUGCACGACCGAAAGGCACUAUCACAGAGGUAUGUGAACAUGAUUCAACAAAAGUGUUGUAGUCAUGGCUGGGCAUGUUGCGAUGAAACGGCAGAAGUUGAAGCUGACAACACACUGCUCCGCCAAGAAAAGGCACUAUCACAGAGGUAUGUGAACCUGAUUCAACAAAAGUGUUGUAGUCAUGGCUGGUCAUGUUGCGAUGAAACGGCAGAAGUUGAAGCUGACCGUCAACACACUGCUCCGCCAAGGAAAUGCACUAUCACAGAGGUAUGUGAACAUGAUUCAACAAAAGUGUUGUAGUCAUGGCUGGGCAUGUUGCGAUGAAACGGCAGAAGUUGAAGCUGACAACACACUGCUCCGUCAAGAUACAGCAGACAUCGCUAAGGAGUUAGACAUGGAAACAGUUCGUUGCUGUGAGGACGGUACCAAGGCUUGCUGUGACGCACUUUGGGCCGUAAUACGCACUUGGCACUGACACUAAUGUACAUUUUAUUGACAUUAUUUUAUAGCUAUAGUAGACGAUUAUGAGUUUAUGCAUGCAUGAGGACUUUUUUAACUGAUUAUUAUGCUAGCAA
RNA transcript from Halichondria panicea, 726 nucleotides. RefSeq lists it as uncharacterized. The record is from RefSeq and is a predicted model, not a curated record. The transcript has 5 exons. Lineage: Eukaryota; Metazoa; Porifera; Demospongiae; Suberitida; Halichondriidae.